RNAcentral lists this transfer RNA (80 nucleotides) under Leucocryptos marina. RNAcentral describes it as "tRNA-Leu". It matches the Rfam family "tRNA". Rfam says of the family: Transfer RNA (tRNA) molecules are approximately 80 nucleotides in length. Their secondary structure includes four short double-helical elements and three loops (D, anti-codon, and T loops). Further hydrogen bonds mediate the characteristic L-shaped molecular structure. tRNAs have two regions of fundamental functional importance: the anti-codon, which is responsible for specific mRNA codon recognition, and the 3' end, to which the tRNAs corresponding amino acid is attached (by aminoacyl-tRNA synthetases). tRNAs cope with the degeneracy of the genetic code in two manners: having more than one tRNA (with a specific anti-codon) for a particular amino acid; and 'wobble' base-pairing, i.e. permitting non-standard base-pairing at the 3rd anti-codon position. Lineage: Eukaryota; Cryptophyceae; Kathablepharidacea; Katablepharidaceae. The record is from RNAcentral.
ACGGAUGUGAUGGAAUAGGUAGACAUGCUAGGUUUAGGUUCUGGUGGGAAAUCCGUGUGGGUUCAAUUCCCACCGUCCGU